RNAcentral lists this ribosomal RNA (498 nucleotides) under uncultured bacterium. RNAcentral's name for it is "partial 16S ribosomal RNA". It matches the Rfam family "Bacterial small subunit ribosomal RNA", at positions 28 to 507 of the family's 1533-position model. The record is from RNAcentral.
GACGAACGCUGGCGGCGUGCCUAAUACAUGCAAGUCGAACGAGAGCAACCGGUGCUUGCACUGGUCAAUCUAGUGGCGAACGGGUGAGUAACACGUGGGUAACCUUCCCCUUCGGGGGGGAUAACAUCCGCAACGGGUUGUAAAACCCGCAAAGGCCUUCGAACGGCAUGGUUUGAAGGGGAAAAGGGGCGCAAGCUUCUGCGCAGGGUUGGACCCGCGGUGCAUUAGCAAGUUGGGGAGGUAACGGCUCACCAAGGCCGUGAUGCAUAGCCGACCUGAGAGGGUGAUCGGCCACAGUGCGACUGAGACACGGCCCAGACUCCUACGGGAGGCAGCAGUAGGGAAUCUUCCGCAAUGGACGCAAGUCUGACGGAGCAACGCCGCGUGAGUGAAGAAGGUUUUCGGAUCGUAAAACUCUGUUGUUAGAGAAGAACAAGUGCUAGAGUAACUGUUAGCGCCUUGACGGUAGCUAACCAGAAAGCCACGGCUAACUACGUG